RNAcentral lists this ribosomal RNA (458 nucleotides) under uncultured bacterium. Its description in RNAcentral is "bacterial SSU rRNA". It matches the Rfam family "Bacterial small subunit ribosomal RNA", at positions 356 to 831 of the family's 1533-position model. The record is from RNAcentral.
GGGGAAUAUUGCACAAUGGGGAAAACCCUGAUGCAGCGACGCCGCGUGGAGGAAGAAGGUCUUCGGAUUGUAAACUCCUGUUGUUGGGGAAGAUAAUGACGGUACCCAACAAGGAAGUGACGGCUAACUACGUGCCAGCAGCCGCGGUAAAACGUAGGUCACAAGCGUUGUCCGGAAUUACUGGGUGUAAAGGGAGCGCAGGCGGGAAGACAAGUUGGAAGUGAAAUCCAUGGGCUCAACCUAUAAACUGCUUUCAAAACUGUUUUUCUUGAGUAGUGCAGAGGUAGGCGGAAUUCCCGGUGUAGCGGUGGAAUGCGUAGAUAUCGGGAGGAACACCAGUGGCGAAGGCGGCCUACUGGGCACCAACUGACGCUGAGGCUCGAAAGUGUGGGUAGCAAACAGGAUUAGAUACCCUGGUAGUCCACACCGUAAACGAUGAUUAACUGGUGUUGGGGCAU